GCGGUAAUUUUAUCAACAAUAGCGGAGGAAAAGAAACCAACCGGGAUUGCCUCAGUAACGGCGAGUGAAGCGGCAAGAGCUCAAAUUUGAAAUCUGGCCCCCUGGGGGUCCGAGUUGUAAUUUGCAGAGGAUGCUUCGGGUGCGGUCCCCAUCUAAGUGCCCUGGAACGGGCCGUCAUAGAGGGUGAGAAUCCCGUCUGGGAUGGGCGGCCGUGCCCGUGUGAAGCUCCUUCGACGAGUCGAGUUGUUUGGGAAUGCAGCUCUAAGCGGGUGGUAAAUUUCAUCUAAAGCUAAAUACUGGCCGGAGACCGAUAGCGCACAAGUAGAGUGAUCGAAAGAUGAAAAGCACUUUGAAAAGAGAGUUAAACAGCACGUGAAAUUGUUGAAAGGGAAGCGUUGUCCACCAGACUCGCCCGGGGGGGUUCAGCCGGCACUCGUGCCGGUGUACUCCUCUCCGGGCGGGCCAGCAUCGGUUUGGGCGGCUGGUGAAAGGCCCCGGGAAUGUAACACCCUCCGGGGUGCCUUAUAGCCCGGGGUGCCAUGCAGCCAGCCUGGACCGAGGCCCGCGCUUCGGCGAGGAUGCUGGCGUAAUGGUGGUCAACGGCCCGUCUUGAAACACGGACCAAGGAGUCUAACAUCUAUGCGAGUGUUCGGGUGUCAAACCCGUCCGCGCAGUGAAAGCGAACGGAGGUGGGAGCCCCCCGGGGUGCACCAUCGACCGAUCCUGAUGUCUUCGGAUGGAUUUGAGUAAGAGCAUAGCUGUUGGGACCCGAAAGAUGGUGAACUAUGCCUGAAUAGGGCGAAGCCAGAGGAAACUCUGGUGGAGGCUCGCAGCGGUUCUGACGUGCAAAUCGAUCGUCAAAUUUGGGUAUAGGGGCGAAAGACUAAUCGAACCAUCUGGUAGCUGGUCCUGCGAGAUUUCUCCUCACGGAAAAGUGGGA
This 940-nucleotide ribosomal RNA is filed under the name Talaromyces sp. RNAcentral describes it as "partial large subunit ribosomal RNA". It matches the Rfam family "Eukaryotic large subunit ribosomal RNA", at positions 27 to 987 of the family's 3401-position model. The record is from RNAcentral. Lineage: Eukaryota; Fungi; Ascomycota; Eurotiomycetes; Eurotiales; Trichocomaceae.